This 497-nucleotide ribosomal RNA is filed under the name uncultured bacterium. Its description in RNAcentral is "partial 16S ribosomal RNA". It matches the Rfam family "Bacterial small subunit ribosomal RNA", at positions 28 to 507 of the family's 1533-position model. The record is from RNAcentral.
GAUGAACGCUGGCGGCGUGCCUAAUACAUGCAAGUCGAGCGAACGGACGAGAAGCUUGCUUCUCUGAUGUUAGCGGCGGACGGGUCAGUAACACGUGGAUAACCUACCUAUAAGACUGGGAUAACUUCGGGAAACCGGAGCUAAUACCGGAUAAUAUUUUGAACCGCAUGGUUCAAAAGUGAAAGACGCUCUUGCUGUCACUUAUAGAUGGAUCCGCGCUGCAUUAGCUAGUUGGUAAGGUAACGGCUUACCAAGGCAACGAUGCAUAGCCGACCUGAGAGGGUGAUCGGCCACACUGGAACUGAGACACGGUCCAGACUCCUACGGGAGGCAGCAGUAGGGAAUCUUCCGCAAUGGGCGAAAGCCUGACGGAGCAACGCGGCGUGAGUGAUGAAGGUCUUCGGAUCGUAAAACUCUGUUAGUAGGGAAGAACAUAUGUGUAAGUAACUGUGCUCAUCUUGACGGUACCUAAUCAGAAAGCCACGGCUAACUACGUG